AAGGAAGUAAGGGCGAGCCCGUCGGACUACGAAGCGGGACGGAAACUACAAUUCCCAGCAGGCCUUGGGCCUCAGUGCGGCCGCGAAGCAGAGCGGGCUGUAGCGCCUUGCGCGCGCGGUGGGGAUGGAACGUUGCUAGGCUUAGCGGGUCUAGCUGCUGGGGGCCCGAGCAGCACGCUCGGAGCCGCCGCGCGCCAAAGCGGGAAUCUGGGAGGCGAGCAGCUCUGCAGUUAAUGCACGUAUUUUAAACUCCCGAGCCUGCGGACGCUAUGCACAGGAAGCACCUCCAGGAGAUUCCAGACCUGAGUAGCAACGUUGCCACCAGCUUCACGUGGGGAUGGGAUUCCAGCAAGACUUCUGAACUGCUGUCAGGCAUGGGGGUCUCCGCCCUGGAGAAAGAGGAGCCCGACAGUGAGAACAUCCCCCAGGAACUGCUCUCAAACCUGGGCCACCCGGAGAGCCCCCCACGGAAACGGCUGAAGAGCAAAGGGAGUGACAAAGACUUUGUGAUUGUCCGCAGGCCUAAGCUAAAUCGAGAGAACUUUCCAGGUGUUUCAUGGGACUCCCUUCCGGAUGAGCUGCUCUUGGGAAUCUUUUCCUGUCUGUGCCUCCCUGAGCUGCUAAAGGUCUCUGGUGUUUGUAAGAGGUGGUAUCGCCUAGCGUCUGAUGAGUCUCUAUGGCAGACCUUAGACCUCACAGGUAAAAAUCUGCACCCGGAUGUGACUGGUCGGUUGCUGUCUCAAGGGGUGAUUGCCUUCCGCUGCCCACGAUCAUUUAUGGACCAACCAUUGGCUGAACAUUUCAGCCCUUUUCGUGUACAGCACAUGGACCUGUCGAAUUCAGUUAUAGAAGUGUCCACCCUCCACGGCAUACUGUCUCAGUGUUCCAAGUUGCAGAAUCUAAGCCUGGAAGGCCUGCGGCUUUCGGAUCCCAUUGUCAAUACUCUCGCAAAAAACUCAAAUUUAGUGCGACUUAACCUUUCUGGGUGUUCUGGAUUCUCUGAAUUUGCCCUGCAGACUUUGCUAAGCAGCUGUUCCAGACUGGAUGAGCUGAACCUCUCCUGGUGUUUUGAUUUCACUGAAAAGCAUGUACAGGUGGCUGUUGCGCAUGUGUCAGAGACCAUCACCCAGCUGAAUCUUAGCGGCUACAGAAAGAAUCUCCAGAAAUCAGAUCUCUCUACUUUAGUUAGAAGAUGCCCCAAUCUUGUCCAUCUAGACUUAAGUGAUAGUGUCAUGCUAAAGAAUGACUGCUUUCAGGAAUUUUUCCAGCUCAACUACCUCCAACACCUAUCACUCAGUCGGUGCUAUGAUAUAAUACCUGAAACUUUACUCAUCCAGAACUCCUAGGAGCUUCUAGCGUCUACCCAAAAAGGCUUCUCUGUCAUCUAUUCUUUCCUGUCCUUGCCAUCUGGCCUCCUGCUUCUUUGCCUGUGCAGCCCCCUGGGGAGUGUGGUGAUCAUUCUUUUUGGGUCGCUUUUCUCAAGAGAAUCUAUCCAUGUGUCUUGCUUUUGUUCCUUCUCUGCAGAAAGAAAGAAGCUAAGCAGUGAACUUGGAGAAAUUCCCACACUAAAAACACUACAAGUUUUUGGAAUCGUGCCAGAUGGUACCCUUCAACUGUUAAAGGAAGCCCUUCCUCAUCUACAGAUUAAUUGCUCCCAUUUCACCACCAUUGCCAGGCCAACUAUUGGCAACAAAAAGAACCAGGAGAUAUGGGGCAUCAAAUGCCGACUGACACUGCAAAAGCCCAGUUGUCUAUGAAGUAUUUAUUGCAGGAUGGUGUCUCUUCUUUAGAACAGGGAAAAUAGGCAGGAAGCCCAAUUGCUGGAGUACUUAGCUAGUUUUAUUCUUGGUUUUCCCUUUGCCUUCAUUCUGCAAGUAUACUAGGGAGCCAUUUGAGAGGGAAAACUAUGAAAUCUUGCUUUUUGAAAUGAUUCUAAAAGCUUCUAUCACUGCUUUGCUCUUAAGAGCCAAAGUUGUAGGCCUUUUGAAAUUUUGGGAGAGUGAGCCUAUAAUUUCAAGGUACCUUAAAGAGCAAAAUUUGAGCCACCUCUUCCAAGUGCCCUUCUUACUAAGUCUAUUCAGAAUCAAGCUUAAAAAUUACCACCAGCAAACAAUCUUCAUAGCCCAUAUAACUUUUAUCUAUUUAAUUUUAUAGUAUUGCUUUAUAAGACAGCUUAGAAGAACAAUAAGCUAUUUGUAUUAUGAGCUGAACAAAAAGAGAAUCAUAGGAUAGUAGCGUCUGAGGCCAUCUUUUCUAGGAAUAGGAAAGAGAAAAAUGUAUUUUAAUUUUGCCUUUAGAUUUGAAAUUAGGUUAAUAGAAAUAAGUAACCCCAUGUAAUUCACCUUAAAACUUAACAAAAGACCAAACAUUACAAAACCCAGAGGUAUAGAAUCAAUAUAGGAUUUGAAGGCCCAGCAGACAGUUUUCUAUGACAGGUUAAUCUGAAGUAUCCUGUAAUGUUCAUUAAGUUACUGUGUUUCCAGAAUCUAAAUUAGAUGAGAAAUAUAAUUGUGGUUUUCUAACUUGAUAAUCAAAUUAUGUUAACAUGGGUCCUUUAGCUUUUAAAAUGACUUGCUUUGUUUUAGAAAGGUGGUAUUAAUCCACUCUCUAUUCUUGAAAAUUUGGAUGGAAGAAUUCUGAAGUUGCCUGCUGUUUUCCUUUAGCGCUGAGGUUCUUAAGGUUACUUUUAUAUUACUCUGGAAUCAAGUAUUUUAAAUUGUAUUUUUUUAAAAUGAUCUCUCAGCAAUAAUUGUUUGAAACUAUCCAUAUAUAAGGUUAUCAGACCUACAGUUCCCUAAGAGGAGCUGCAUGUUCUCUUCAAUCAGAAAUAUACAGUAGAAGCAGGUAUAUCUUCCAUGCAGUUUCAGUAGUAAGCACUACUUAUACCUACAUAAGAGUUAAAAUCCAGAUGUGGGACCUUUUGAUACCAUCAGUGAUAUAUAUUUUUUUAAACUGGUACAGAGAAGUGAAAAGAUUAAAUUCUACUUCUAUUUUUUUUUUUUUUUUUUUGAGACGGAGUCUCGCUCUGUCACCAAGGCUGGAGUGCAGUGGUGCGAUCUCGGCUCACUGCAAGCUCCGCCUCCCAGGUUCACGUCAUUCUCCUGCCUCAGCCUCCCGACUAGCUGGGACUACAGGCGCCCACCACCACGCCCGGCUAAUUUUUUUGUAUUUUUAGUAGAGACGGGGUUUCACCAUGUUAGCCAGGAUGGUCUCAAUCUCCUGACCUCAUGAUCCGCCCGUCUCGGCCUCCCAAAGUGCUGGGAUUACAGGCAUGAGCAACUGCGCCCAGCCAAAUUCUACUUCUUAAAAAUCACAAAAACUAGUUUAAAUUGAUGACUUGUUCGUAUGUUCAAAAUGUAACAACAAAAAAAGCCAACACCAGUCAUUUAUAUUAACUUUUUUUUUUAAAUCAAAAAUUGUUAAUGUUAGAAACAUAGUAUGAAGUGCCUUUAUCUGCUUAGACCUAAGGAAGAUUUUAAAGUUGGGUUGCACAGGAAAUGAUGAUGCUUCAAUUUCUUAAUAGUUAAAAAGUGCUAAAUACUACUUGAAAUUAUUGUUUACAGAUUAGUGACAAGAGCUGGGGUUAGGAUCCGGUUGGACUCUGACAUCGGAUGCCCUCAAACAUACAGAACUUCCAAACUCAAGUCCAGCCAUAAGCUAUUUUGCCAACAUGUCAGAGUAAUCUGUAUUUUUGUAUGUGAUUUCUACUUUUAUAGACUUGUUUUAAAACAAUAAAACACAUUUUUAUAAAAA
RNA transcript from Pan troglodytes (chimpanzee), 3753 nucleotides. It is a transcript of the gene named S-phase kinase associated protein 2, with no coding region annotated. The transcript is spliced from 11 exons. The record is from RefSeq and is a predicted model, not a curated record. Lineage: Eukaryota; Metazoa; Chordata; Mammalia; Primates; Hominidae.